RNAcentral lists this long non-coding RNA (229 nucleotides) under Theobroma cacao (cacao). RNAcentral's name for it is "long non-coding RNA (TCAC_LNC001281)". The record is from RNAcentral. Lineage: Eukaryota; Viridiplantae; Streptophyta; Magnoliopsida; Malvales; Malvaceae.
UCAUGUUAAAACUCUCUUUUCGUAAAAUGUUCAUUGUAAAUAUUUGCAUGAUAUUUUGUAUCAAAAUAGCAUGGUGAAUAUGUAAUAAAUUUCAUGAAUGCACACCACACAAACAAUAAGGCACAAUUUCCUUUGAUAUAAAUCUUUUCGAAAAGCUUGUUUCCCGGUUUAAAACACUUUACGUCUAAUAUAUAUAUAUAUAUAUAUAUUCCAAAUGAUUUCUAAAAAU